Molecule: small nucleolar RNA, 99 nt
Organism: Pongo abelii (Sumatran orangutan)
Lineage: Eukaryota; Metazoa; Chordata; Mammalia; Primates; Hominidae
Source: Ensembl
AUUCUUUUGUAGUUACUAAGUGUGAUGAUAGGGUGUUUACACACGUGUAAGAUGUGCCUCCCUCCAGCCUUGUUAUGAUGUCACAUUACCCGACUGAUG